This is a long non-coding RNA of Papaver somniferum (opium poppy), 4130 nucleotides long. RefSeq lists it as uncharacterized. The record is from RefSeq and is a predicted model, not a curated record. Lineage: Eukaryota; Viridiplantae; Streptophyta; Magnoliopsida; Ranunculales; Papaveraceae. The transcript is spliced from 5 exons.
UAUUAGGCCACCUCUAUGUUAUCAAUGCUUCCGGUCUUCAAGCAAAAAAAAACGUUUCGUCUAUUUUGCUUUCUUUAACUGAAAGAUUUCUCUGAUAUCUAAACACAAAAUGAAUUCCUUCUCCAAUAUCUCUUAUUCUUCGUCCACGAAAAACAGAAUCUGGGAUCAAUUGAAAAUACUCCAUUUGAUAAGGGAUGAAGUUAAGAUAACUAACAACAUGAUUUUUCAUGAUUGAAGUCAAGCAUCCCCGUGCAUUUCUGCAUAACAUAUUUGGAGACUUCGAGAUACAUUAUAGAAAUUUGUAACUGACCUAAUCUGUGGGCAGGUUUUGGAAGCAUGCCCACCAUCUCUUUGCUAUUUGCUUUGAUACGGCUUCAUGCAAUUAUAAGGAAUAAAUUGAGGUAGAAACAUUUCGAUUUGUGUGAUAUGUUCAAUUUGCAGAGAGCCACGAAACCUAAAGAAUCAAACCGUAAAGAACAGUAUAAGUUGAUUAUAUCGUUAUUAAUCAACUAAAGUAAGUGGCAGUAAUAAGUAACCGGAGACGAUGAAGGAGUUGACCGCCUCUCUGGAUUAAAGUUUCUCAAGGAGUUCAGAUGUUAUCCAUAGAUUUCAUAAACAAAAUAGCUUGACAUCUUAUCUUUCACCUGUAAGUUAUAGACAUGCAGUUCUUUCUUUUACCAACCUCACCAAGAUUUUUGGAACCACAAGAACACCGUACUUAUGCGUGAUUGAAGGUCUUAUACUUUUUCAUGAUUUUACAAUACAUCCGACCUUUAUGUCUUUGCAUGUUACUCAUGCUUUAACCAAAAUAGGUUAAGUUUGGAAAUCUAUCUUUUAUGGUUAACUUCCAGGGGCAUGAUUUGUAUUACAAAAAAUUACUUUGUCAAAUACCGCAGUCGAUAACUUCGCUGAAUACUCGCCAGUAAAUUUAAUGAUCUACUCAGGGUGAGUAACACUGUGAAUGUAUGAUUGCAUGUACAUUUUAAGCACUUGCUUAUUCCACCGUUUUUGUGCUACAGUUGCAGUUACUGAAUGCUAAGGGAUGUUUCUCCAACAAUAGUUGGGAGCAUGCCUAGGGGACUGAGUGUCGGGCCUUGGGCAGCAAUGAUAAGUCUAGGCCGAGAAGGAUACAAUGGAACUGUCUAAACAAAGACAAAUAAGGGAUAAAGGAGAACCUUGAGCUAUUUAUCGUUGGAGGGUCAGACAUGACGAUUGUUGCAUUCGACUAAGAAUUUAGACAUAAUCAUAUAAUGUCCUCCGAAGGCCGGCAUUUGAAAUCACUACAGAAAGCUAACAUGUAAGGGUUAUAUUUUAAGUAGAUGUAUGAUAAUAAAUGUAGAAUCAAUUUGACAUCUUUUACAAUUUGACGUUAGAGUUUAGAGGGUCUAUGACAUAUGAUCUCAACCAUAUAUAUGAUAUAAACUAUUUGUGAAUGAAUCCUCCAAUUCAUUUUCAUCUGAUAUAUGUUGUUUACUAGAUCAUUCACUAAGCUGAGGCAAACCUUUAUUAUUUAUGCAUUUGAUGGAUACUCCGUAUAUAUAUAAUCUGUUCAACCAUUUAAAGCAGCAAGGAUUUUGGUUUAAAUUUAUGUUUUUGAAUCUGGGUUUUAUUAGUAUGCUCAAAUUUUGUGUUCUGGAAUCUGGGUGAUAAAAAAAAGGCAUCAGCUUCAUGAACUUUAUGAUGUGGUUUUAAAUUUAGUAGUGUGUAUAUUAGAUUGGUGCUAAAAAGGAGACAUUUCCUUCCCUUUAUUUCACUAUAUUACAAGGUUUGUUUUCCUAAGGUCCGACUUUUAUAUGCUCCUCUACUUUUAUGAUUUCUGAUUUUUCACAUCUGUCAUAAGUUUUGUUCAGUGUCAAGAAUCUUCUGUUAGACUUUUUUAUGGUUUAGCAGCAAAUCAUGUUUACUUUAACAAAACCGGAUUAGCCUAAUCUUAAUCAAGUGUGUGUGUUAGGUUUAGAUCAUGUACCAAAGGUAAAACUUUCUGUUUUGUGGGAUGUGCACAUAAGGCCAAAGUACAUCAAGUUAAUCCAUAAAGUGGGCAUAUUAGUUUAUUAAAUUCAGUUAAGAGAUGUGUCCCCACCUCAUGAUGGCUGAGUGUGUGACACAUGUCUAAGUUAGUUGGAGGUGGACUCCCUUCUAGCCUUACUUAAAGUUUAUAUCUGCCAUUAGAAAAGGUAAGGGUGAUAGAAGUGGAUGAAGAACUUCCAAGAAAAGAUCUUAGCAUAGAGUCUUCUGUUGUAAGUGAUUAUCCAUAGAGAAACAACAAUCUAAGAUGAACAAGAACUUAGUCUAAGGUAUCAGCAAGCUAUUCUCUCCUACUGUUUCUCAAGGAACUAAAGGUAUCUUCUGAUGACUAUUGUUUGGUCUUCAAUAAGGUAAAGACAGGUAUACCUAAACUCUAGUAUUUCUUGUUUAUCAUGUACUGAUUGUAUAUCCUAAUCUUAAGUAUGCAGCAUGAUGGAGUAUGAAGUAGUUGUACUUAAACAUGAUUAGGUUUAAGCAUAAAGCAUGUUCUCUGUGUUCAUAUCAUGUCAAAGUUUUCAGAUGUAUAACAUGUAGUCCUAGGUGUAAAGUAAGGUGUCCAUAUCAGCAUACGUGUAACCUGUAAUCCUAAUUUGGUUAACCAUGCUUAGUAACUAAUAAAGCGUAUCAAAAGCAUGAUUAGAGGCUGAUAUUCUAACAUUGGUAACAGAGCCCAUAGGUUUAAUAGUGUUUUACAUCUGAUUAUGACAUAGUCGGCGUGUUUAACAUGAAAUUUUUCAGCACCUCAUAUGUUGUCAUGGUAUAUUGAUUCCAAAUCUGCUAGUGCCAUGUAUAGGUGUUUUGUUUCUUAUAUCAUUGGCCUGAAAUGAAGUUGAAAGUGUUCAAAGGCCGCAGUCUUAUAUAUCUUUUGUUAUUUGAUAAGUGUUGCCAAAGUGAUACUUUGAUAGGAUACAAAAGUGCAUAUUUCUGUAUGAUAGGGACUGCAUAAAGUUGCUUUUUGGAUCACAUUCUGUAUGCCUAAACCCAAAGGUUAAUCAUACAGAUGCUAUCCUUAAUGGACAAGAUGAUUUGUUCAUAUCUAGUAAGUGAUAUUUCUAAUGAACCCAAAGGUUUAACAGAUCCGUUACUUACUUUAUAUGAGUAGGUCAGUCUUGAACUUCAAUUUCAGGGGAUUUCGAUAUGUUUUAACUUUACCCAAAGGUGAAGUGACGGUAAUAUCGAGUCUUUGUAAAGUUUAUGCUUUCCAUAAGGUCUAAGGCAGUUAAAAUGAAUACAGUUUUCAGUCAAGUUUGAAUCUUUCACAAGUUCAGUAACUUUGGGUGGUAUUAAGACUUGAGUGGCUCAAGUUCAAGUGAGUAAUGCAAAUAAAAUGUUCAUGGAGAUGUACCUAAUGCUGUCCAAGGAGGGUUUCCUGUUGAAGAGAAGAUUAAGGAGAUGAUGGAGGUUGUCCACUUGCAAGUUACAGAUCCUGUGUUGCCGUGCGAAGCUUACAACAGUUGAAAUGAUGGUUGUUCAGCUUGCAAUGAAGUGAGAUAGCAGAAAGCAAUCAAGACAAUCACUGCCCAAUUCACUUCCAGUCCCUCCUGAACUUUGUCGGCAGCUGCAGCAUCACGACGACGGAGGGUCAUGAGUCAUCAUCAAAGGUAAUUCUACUGAAUUGUACCAAGUUUUUGGUAUAACAACAGAAAAAUGGUGUGGUUAUCGGACAAGCACAGAAAACAAGAAGUAUGGCCAGCUUUGCCAAGUUUUACAAGAAUCAAUCCCAGGUACAAAUGGCGACAAUCGAACAUCUUUUGGACACUUCAAAGAGUAUAACCAUGCUAAGUUUAAAGCUUCAGGAAGUCAAUGGGGAGUUGGAUCAUAUCUUCUUUAAUACCUUGAAGUUUGAUGGUAAUCAAAGUCUAUGUUACACUCCUAUGACAUCUGUAAGUGUUAUUAUGUUUCCCGUCUCUGAGAUUUCGACAUCUGUAAGUAUCAUUUCUCUUUUACCUUGUGUGUUUCUACUUGUGAAUAUGGUAAUGUAAGCAUGUUUCAGUUUACAGAUAAGCUUAUAAGGUUGUGUGUAGGUCUCACACUAAUGAUGUAACUCUAAUAUAUGGUUGUUUUGUACAGUCUAGUGGGAGUAAAGUUCCCGUUUUUUUGUGUAA